This 5051-nucleotide long non-coding RNA is filed under the name Marmota monax (woodchuck). The record is from RNAcentral. Lineage: Eukaryota; Metazoa; Chordata; Mammalia; Rodentia; Sciuridae.
GAAUUAUUUCUUUAUUUUUAUUAUUGUUUUUGAAAUAAUAAAUUAUCCUUCAAAAAUGCUGCAUUUUAUUUUAAAUAGAGCAUUGUUUUGGUGAUAAGAACUAUAUGAUCUUGGGAAAAAAUUUGUGUUCACAUUCCAGUAAUGAACUAUGAGACUUUACUUGUGGUUAAUAUAAAACCCAAGAUGAACUUUGGUUUAUCAAUUUGUUUUGGAUGUUUAUUUUGAUUGCAGCUCACAUUUGAAAUCCAAUUGUAAGCAUCAUUUCUAAUCAAAGCACUUUUAGUAGGUGUGACCAAUGAAUGUUAACAAGACUGAAUCCAUGUAUUAUUUGGUGAAAUAUUAUUUUGCUCAAGAAUUAACACUGUAAUUCUGUUUCACAGUUUAUCCAUGUAAUUUGAGUUUUUACAUAUCCUGCGGUUCCUUUUAUCUGAGAGUAGGUUUUGAGUUUAUUAGCUGGUUUCACUUAGUGUUGUUUAUGGGCCUAUUACUAUAGCUUCUAAGUGCUUCUCAGAACAUGUUCCUUUUAUGUCUAUCAAACUACAUUUCCACAUAAAUGGAAACUCUUUCGUUGCUGGAAUUCUUUGCCUCUUUAUUGUCAGCCUGCUUGUUAACCAAAUGAGGAACACUAUUUUCCUGAGUUUUAUUCUACCCAAUGGUAGGCAAUUUCUCUGGAUUUUUUUUUACAAUGAAAAAAUAAUAACUGUAUUCACACUUACAAAUGUAUUUGCAUCCUUUUGUCCAAUUUUCACAUUUCUUUGGAAGUGACAACUGUUCUUACUAAGCAUAAUUUCUUCAAAUCCCACUGUUUUGGCCUCUUCAUGAACGUUGCUUUAUUGAUUAUCCUGAGUCCUGAGUCCUCUCCCUAAAAAAACAAACAUCUCAAUUUCUUUCCCAUCCUAACUUCUAGAAUAUUAUUCCUGAAACCCCUUAACCCUUCUCAGUUUCUUUUGCAAACAUUUCUUCCACCCACCCCUUAACUGUUUUACUUUCUGAUAUUUUACCUCUAUACACCCCCCGCCCCCACCGCUGACAUCUGAACCCAGGCCUCAGCUGUAUGUUGAUGAUCCUCAAACCUUAUUUCCAUCCUGUUCUGUCACCUAAAAUCCAUAUAUUUAGACGACCACUGGUCAUCACAUAGAUAUUCCACAAACUACUCAAAAUUAGUAUGUCCUAAAAUGAACAAACUUAUUCAUCCUCCUGCUAUUUUUUUUUAUAUCAGUGAAUGAAGACAACUUGUAUGUAGCUAGUCAAUCCUAACAGUCGUUCUCAAUUCUUCCCUCUCCCAAGUCUCCAGUAUAGACUGGGGUGCCCAAUAGAAAGCAGCAACAAACACUCAAGUUCUUGCAAGAUCUUAGCAGCUGCAAGACCAGGGGAGGUUGACUUGGUCUCUGAACUACCCUGGGCUCCAUAAAAACACUAGGGAAGAAUUUUCAAGGAUCCAUGCCCUGAAGCAGACACUAGAGUCACUAAAAUAGCAAAAUUUACACCCAUUACUAUAACUGUGACCUAAUUUUCCCUAUCCCCAAGCUCCUAGGAGGUGAGAACUGAGAAAAUAUAGGUUGCACUCCUUGAUUAGAGGGAGGGAACAGCAGCUUCCAGAGCAGAGGUACUUAUAAUCAUGGUCUUAGUCCAUUUUGACUGUUACAACCUAACACUUCAGACAGCUUGGCUUAUAGACAACGUAAGUGUUUUUCUAAUAGUUCCUAGAAGCUGAGAAUGUGAAGGUCAAGGUGCCAGCAGAUUCAGUGUUAGGUGAGGACACACUUUACGGCUUUGUGGUUCAUAGCAGGUACCUUCUUGCUGCAGUCUCACGUGGGGAAGAGGAAAGUACACCUUGGACACUCAGGACUUAAUCAUCCACAAAGGCUCCACCUCCUAUUGUCAUCUCCUAGUAUCACCUUGAGGGCUAGUAUUUUAAUAUAUAAAUUUGGGGGUUUGGGGCAGGCCCAAGAGAGCUAUAUUUAGGUUCUCUAACCAAGACUUCCUGCCAAGUAUAUUUUAAUAUGUAGUCAAGGUCAUAAACACCCUGUUUCAGUAUAUUACUCGAGGUCAUAUAUAUCUGCUUGUGAGAUAUAUAUGUAACCGUUGGCACUGGGCCUUCUUUCUUGCACAUAGAAAAGCCUAUGGAAAGACUCAGAGGGCUGUUGCCACCUUCAAAUAAAGCAGGCCUACUAUCCCAACGGCACCUCACAUCUUCUUUCACCUGCUGGUAUCCUGAAUCUGUUUCCCAGGGUCUGAGCCCCUCAAGGAUGGAGGGUGGGAGAUACAAACAUUCAGACCAUAUCGAUGCCAGACACAGGAACUUUGACUUGAUUACAAUAUCAACAAAGCCAAGUCAGGUGAGAAACAUAGAGGGGUGGCUUUCGUUAGGGCUUCCAUUUGAGGAGGGAGACAACACUGACAGGAGCUCCUCAGUCUGGCUACUUGAACAAAGGGAGAGAGAUUUAUUUAUGUGAAAGGGGUGUUUGCAAGGGGCUGAGGUCAGCCGGUCAGCCUGGGGAGGAAUGUUAGUUUUCCUUAUAGAUACUGCAUCCUGUAAAAAUACUUCUGCCUGUGAUAAGGGUAGAUUGCCAUAGCUGUUAGGAGAACAUGUAGGUGGGAAAUGGAAAAGAACAAAAUCAUAGCAAGUAGCAAGUUAAUGGCCCUGGGAAUUUCCCAUUUUGAUGGCUCCUCAACAGUUUUUAUUCUUGGUGUUGUUUGUCCUGGCAAAAGCUUCCUGGCCCUAGUGAUGUACUUGGUCUCUGAAGCUGGUAAGGCUGUUCCAAGAGGAUGUUUUAUGCACAUACCAAGCUUUUAGUAGCUAAUAAUCUAUGAAUGAGGGUGGAAGAACAGAGAAAAGAAAAAAAAAGAACUUAUACUAUCUUUUAAUAGCCAUCAGUCCAUGAGUUAAAUAAAGCCCAGGAGUGUCCUUGACCUGUAUCCCUUUGGUGGUCUCUGUGUCAAUAGCAAUCACCUGUUUCCUGAUUUUAAUUAUACUUGCUCUUUGACCUCAUUCAGUCCUUCUAUUCAUUUAAUCCCUUAUUACCCCUUAGUCUAAUGACUUAACCACCUCUCACAGCCCACCUAUCCUAGGUUGAUCACUGGAACAACAUCCAGUGGUAUGGAUCAGCAGACUUUUACAAAAAGCCACUUACUGAAACCUAAUCCUGGAUGAGAUCCAUAAUCUACCUCCCACUUCUAGCUUUUUCACCACUUUACUUCAUACGUCCAAGCUCUUGCCAAUAAAAUGUAGCAUAUUCUUCCAGCUUUUGUCUCCAACUGACCCUUCCAACCCAGCAUUCCCCUGCCUCUAUUUUUUGCUCAUGACAUGUUUUCCCAAUUUAAUACCUUUUCUCCAAGUAAAUCUGAAGAUUAAUCACUUGAUUAGUUUUAAGAUGAUCUGCUUAUAUCUUUGUUGCAGUAUUUAGAAGAUGAGAAAGACACUUUCUCCCUUGGAAUAUAAGUGGAAUGUGGGAGUCGCUAUUCAUCAGCUGUCACUCCAACCAUGAGUGAAAGCCAGAUUGCUAUAAACCUCACAGUAGGAAAGAAAAUGGAAUGGGGGAGGUUUAGUAUGACAAGAAGUUGCUCAUCAUGGAAAGUGAAUAUUUUCAUCUUUCAGUUUAACUUUCUUUUCUGUGUAUGGAGAUUAAAUCCAGGGCCUCAUGCAUGCUAGACACAUGUUCUACUACUGAGCUACAUGCUCAGCCAUUAACUUUUUUGUACUAGCACUUAAGCAUCUUGAUAGAGGGGAUAAAAACUAGAAUGUUGUUAGUAGAAGACAGGCAUUCAAAUGUUUUAUGAGUGAAAGUUAUAACAAUGGGUUAUAACUUAUAAAAUUGUCUCUCCCAAUACAAUGUAUAUGUAUAUGUGUGCAUGUAUACACAUAUGUGCAUGUAUGUAUAUUUGAUUUAAAAUUUCAAUUAAAUUAUAUAUAAUAAUUUAAAUUAUAUAUAAUGUACUGGUUUGUACAUUAACUGUAAAGUAGAAAUUUGACACUUGACAUUGGAUCAAGUAUGAAAAAGUUGGCUUUAUGUACUAUUGUAGCUCAGCUCUGGGUAUGGCCAUCUUGCUUCAAAGAAAAUGUCACUAUCAGUGGCUAAAGGGAAAAUAUCAAACUAAAAGAAUAACAGUAAAUCCAAUCCAUUAAGACAUUUAUUUAAUAUUUUGUUUGGGUGAAAGAAGAAUCUUAACCUUACUCCAUUUUUACUUUAAAACUUUUAAUAGCAUAAUUCAAAUUUAUAUUCUAAAUACUGAAAGUACAUAACAUAGGUCAGCAUUAAUUUUUAAAAUGUCAAUUUGACUUAGUAGGGAAAAAAAAGCAACUGAUGUGCUUCAGUAAUAACUUCCACUUGUUUUAUCUUGUUACAUUAAAGCUUGCAAUUCUAUUUAAUUGGCAUGUAAUUUAAUUGCCACAUAAGUUAUUUAAUUAUAUACUAUAAAUGGAAAAUGUUGUUUAUAGGCAAUGUAUCUCUUUUGUUAAAAUUUGGGAUACUACAUCUUCCUCUAGCUUGUGUUCUUAUGUAUUCUUUCAUGUUGAUUAUUUGCAUUGUAUGUUGAGUUAUACCACGUUAACUGAUUUUAUCAUUGUUUACAAUUGUGUAUGUUUAUGUGUGCAUUUGUAAAUAUUGUGAUAUUUUAAAAAUGAAUUGGGAAAGCCAAACUUUAAUCUGCUUUAUUAGUAAAAGCACAAAAGACCUGAGUUUCUCUCUUUGUGGAAAUGAUAAUAUCCCAAUAAUUCACACAGGCUGCUUCUUCAGGAUAGCAGGCCUUCCCUCCAUCCUUUGCCUAUUCCAGAUAUUCCUUUUGAAGCUUUACCUUAAGUGUUAAUUUCUCUGAGAAAGCUUUUCUGACCUCACUAAUGGUCAGGUAGCUUUUGUCUAUGUUCCUUUAACCAUGACAAUCCGGAGUCUGGCAAAGCCAGGGGAGAGUCCGUGUGGGGUGAUGUUGGGCCCCAGCACAGUAGCCUUAGGAAGACUUAGGCUUCUGGGUUGUAAAGAGAGAAUAAUGGAUACUUAAUUGUGUUGCUGUGAAAAAUACAUUCGAUAAGACUAUGACUUUGCACAAUGCUCGGC